UACGGAGGAUCCAAGCGUUAUCCGGAUUUAUUGGGUUUAAAGGGUGCGUAGGCGGCCUGUUAAGUCAGAGGUGAAAACUUGCAGCUCAACUGUAAGCUUGCCUUUGAUACUGAUGGGCUUGAAUAAACUAGAGGUAGGCGGAAUGUGACAAGUAGCGGUGAAAUGCAUAGAUAUGUCACAGAACACCAAUUGCGAAGGCAGCUUACUAUGGUUUAAUUGACGCUGAGGCACGAAAGCGUGGGGAUCAAACAGGAUUAGAUACCCCCGUAGUCC
RNAcentral lists this ribosomal RNA (273 nucleotides) under uncultured bacterium. Its description in RNAcentral is "partial 16S ribosomal RNA". It matches the Rfam family "Bacterial small subunit ribosomal RNA", at positions 524 to 796 of the family's 1533-position model. The record is from RNAcentral.